Molecule: long non-coding RNA, 6940 nt
Filed under: Nicotiana benthamiana
Lineage: Eukaryota; Viridiplantae; Streptophyta; Magnoliopsida; Solanales; Solanaceae
Description: long non-coding RNA (NBEN_LNC013232)
Source: RNAcentral
GUAGUAAUUUUACCGCAAUUUGUGUUUUCAUAACCUGCAUGGUUUAUCUAUGAUUUUUGAAAAUAAAUGUAUUACUGAUGCUUUGAAAUUGCAUGUGGGACAAGUCCUUUACUUGAUAUGAUACCGAACAGUUUACUUGAGAUGUUAAUUGCCUGUGGGACAAGUCCUUUAGUUGAUAUGAUACCGAAGAGUUUACUUGAGACGUUUACUGAUUAAUCAAAUAUUUUCACUGUUACUAGAUAUAUUUUACCGUUACUUGAGACAUGAUUUCAGGUACCGAAAUAAAAUUACAAGAUUUGAAAAGGAAUGAUAUGCCCUUUAUUAUUUUGAAAAUGCUUCUUUACGAGUAUUUAUGGUUUAUAAGAAAGAAUAUAAAUGGGCGGAGACUUUGAAAGAUGCAGUAGCUAAUGACGGGUUCGUUAGACCUGGUGCAACUUGUAUUUACAGAUUACAGAGUAUAGUUAUAGCCCUCGCUAGUGGAAGGUAGAACUAGCACACCGUUACCAAUUUCCAUCGAGUAGGGACUACAAUUAUAUUUGACUUCUUGCGAAGAAGUCCACAGUUAUCCUUAUUACAUGAUCGUUCAUUGAAAUCUCCCAAAAUGUGAAUACUGAUAUUAUACAGUGGUUACCGAGCUUAUUACUGAAUUAUUAAUUNNNNNNNNNNNNNNNNNNNNNNNNNNNNNNNNNNNNNNNNNNNNNNNNNNNNNNNNNNNNNNNNNNNNNNNNNNNNNNNNNNNNNNNNNNUGUGAUGAGAUUGAAAAUUAUUUAUUGUUUCUGAAAGGGCAUUUUUAUGUAUUUUCUCUUUGAUAUACUAGCAUGUUUCUGACUUGUCCCGAAAUAAAAACGGUUGUGGUUAAGUGUUAUUACUCACUGAGCUUGCGACUCAUUCCUCGUUAAUUUUUUUUACAGAGACAGCAGCUGACGUAGACGAGGAUUUCAUUAAUUAGAGCGUACAUGUUAAGAAUUCUUGGUGAGCCUCGCACUUGUUCGCGUGGGCGGAGGUUUUCAUCAAUUGUUAUAGUCCUCCCUUUUAAGUCUUAGAGUCGCUCCAUAGUCAUUCGUUUAGUGUCAUGAGUAUUAUUUUGCUAUUAGUCUUAUGUCGAGUAUCGUUCUUUAUUAUCAAAGUUAGAGAUGAAUUAGUAUUUCCGGUUGUUAGUGGAUUGAUUAGUAGUGGCAAAGGCUAUUUUGGUUAAUUGAUAAGUUAUAGAUUGUUUGAAUUGCUAUUAGGAUGUUUGGUUGCUGAUUUGAGACAGGGAAAUUUUUGGGAUGGUCCAAAAAUAGGGAAAAUUUUGUCCGAUUUUUUGUAAAAUUUCCGAUGAGGCUUACUUGGGAGCACUUGCUCCUAAGCGCCGGUCACAAUUCUAAAUCGGGUCGUGACAAAGUUGGUAUCAGAGCUUAGGCUUUACGUCUCAAGUCAUGGAGCAUUGUUUAGUAGAGUUUUGUUCAUGGGUACGUAGGCGCCCAUAGUUAUGAGUUUGAGGCUACUUAUCAUCUAGGAAUUUUUUCCCUUUUUUCAUUCUUUGAUCGUGCGUUGAGAUAACUUGAGAUUGACUUUGGAAUAUUUCUUUCGCAGUUGGCUAGGACACGUAGACCCUCAUCUGCUGGACGUGGUUUUGGACGUGGUACUACUCGAGGUGGAGGUCAAGUUGGGGUUCAUCAAACUAGAAGACAUACUUCUACUCAACCUCAAGUUGGGAACAUGGGUCAAACCCAAGAAGUUAUGCCAGAUCAAGUGCAAGAGCAGGGAGUUCAGAACGCUCCACCACCAGUGCCAACUGUUGUAUCUACUAUUGCCUUACCUGCAUAUGCAGUGGAAAGGUUAUUAAAUGUGUUAGAGGCAAUGUUGCCUACUCAUAGAGGAAGUUCAGCUCCUCAGGCUAGCUUAUAGACAAAAGCACCGGCACGGACUCAGACUUUCGGAAAUAAGGAAGUAUCCCUACAAGAGUUUCACAUGGGUACCUACUCUGGGAGGAAGUUCUAACUCCUCAGGCUACUUUAUAGACACAAGCACCAGCACAGACUCAUACUUUCGGAAACAAGGAAGUAUCCCUACAAGAGUUUUUGAAUUUGAAAUCACCAAAAUUCACAGGUUCCGAUAAUUCAGCAGAUCCUCAAGGUUUCUUGGAUGAGACACUCAAGGCAUUACGUUCUCUUAGAUGUUCUAGUGAGAGAGCCGUGGAGCUCGCAGCAUACAAAUUAUAGGAUAUGGCCAACACAUGGUAUGAAACUGUAUUGCUAAGAAGGCCAGCAAGAGCAGCACCACUGACACGGGAUGAGUUCACUAAGUUGUUCAAGAAUCACUUUCUUCCAGACAGUCUAAUGCAACAAUAUGCCACAGACUUUGAGAGAUUGGUUCAGACUCCAGAUAUAGACGUGUCAACAUAUAACACUAAGUUCUGUGAGCUGGUUGUAUAUGCUCCUCACUUAGUGUCUACCGAAGAAGCUCGAGUUCAGAGGUUUGUUAAUGGAUUAGUUGGUUGUUUAUACACUGCAGUAGCCCUACCGAUGAAGACUUUAUCCUACUCUGAUAUAGUCGACCUUGCUAGAAAGAUUGAAAAUAAGGGAUGUGAGGAGCAUGCAGUUAGUGAUUUACGUAAGAAGGCCAAGACAGGAGGGGCUUUCAGUGGUCGUUUUAGUGACAAUAGAAGAGCGGGAAAUCAGGGACAACAACAACAGGGUUCUCAGAAAGGGACACACAUGUUUUCACAGUCCACAUAUAGACCACCCUACAGGCAGGGUAAUAGGGGACCAUCAUCUUCUGGACAUCGUAAUUUUGGGCAUAUAUAUGCCACUACUCUAGUCUGUCAGACUUUUGGUAGCUCACAUUUUGGCCAAUGUCGUGUUCUAACUAGAGAGUGUUUUCGGUGUGGCCAGUUGGAACAUCACUUGAGGGAUUGCCCUCAGCCUCCGAGAAAUUUCAAUCAGGCUCCUAUUCAGUCAGUUGAACCGACUCAAACUACUCGUAAUACUUUAGGAGCUACAGGUACAGGAAAUAGAGGUCGAGGUGAUGGAGACCAUGCUACUGUGAAUCAAGGACAAGGCAAUGCUGGUAGAGGUCAGGCGAGAGUUUUUGCAUUUACUAGACAUGAUGCUCAGGCGUCGAAUGUCGUGGUUACAGGUAUUCUUUCUGUCUUUUCAUUUGAUGCACUUGCUUUGAUUAAUCUGGGAUCUACCCACUCCUAUGUGUCCUCGUACUUUGCUUUGAGAUUUAGUAGACAGCCCGAGCUAUUGAAUGAUCCUUUUAUAGUUGCUACCCUUGUUGGAGAGUCUCUAUUAGCUGAAUACGUGUACCGUGCUUGUCAAAUUCGGGUUGAUGAGUAGAGAUACUCUAGGUGACCUUAUUGUACUUGAUAUGAUUGACUUUGACAUGCUGGCGGGAAUGGAUUGGUUAUCUUCUUGCUAUGCCAUAAUCGAUUGUCAUGCAAAGAUAGUAAGGUUUGAGAUACCAAAUGAACCCAGUUUUACUCUAAGAGGGAGUCGGGUUCCAGAGACUUGCAAAAUUGUAUCUUCUAUGAAGGCUCAACGACUUCUGAAGAAAGGUUGCUUGGGUCUCUUAGCUAUAGUAAACGACACUAGAAAGGAAACAGUUAGCAUAGAAAAUGUACCCGUAGUGAGAGAAUUUUCUGAUGUCUUUCCUGAGGAUUUACUAGGAUUAACUCCAGUACGAGAAAUAAACUUUGGUAUUGAUUUACUUCCUGACACACAACCCAUAUCGAUACCCCCAUAUUGAAUGGCACCAGCAGAGUUGAGGGAGUUAAAGCAACAGUUACAAGAUUUGUUUGACAAGGGUUUUAUUAGACAUAGUGUAUCACCAUGGGGUGCGCCAGUACUGUUCGUAAAGAAGAAAGAUGGAUCUCUGAGAAUGUGCAUUGACUACAGGCAGUUGAACAAGAUAACAAUACGCAAUAAAUAUCCUUUGCCUCGUAUAGCUGACAUGUUUGNNNNNNNNNNNNNNNNNNNNNNNNUGAACAAGAUAACAAUACGUAAUAAAUAUCCUUUGCCUCGUAUAGAUGACAUGUUUGAUCAGUUACAAGGAGCUGCCCAUUUUUCAAAGAUUGACCUCCAUUCUGGUUAUCAUCAACUUAGAAUCAAAGAUGAAGAUAUUUCUAAGACUGCUUUCAGGAAUCGAUACGGGCACUCUGAGUUUCUUGUGAUGCCUUUCGGACUGACAAAUACUCCAGUUGCAUUCAUGGAUUUAAUGAAUAGGGUGUCCAAGCCGUUUCUGGAUAGAUUUGUAAUAGUAUUUAUUGAUGAUAUCCUGAUAUGUUCUCGUAGCCAAGGAGAAUACGAGAAUCAUCUCAGGACUGUGUUGCAAACAUUGCGAGAACAUCGGCUUUAUGCUAAGUUUUCAAAGUGUGAAUUCUGGCUAGACUCGGUAGCAUUUUUGGGGCAUGUUGUAUCCAUAGAUGGAAUUAUGGUAGAUCCUAAAAAGACUGAAGCUAUGCAGAAAUGGACCAGACCUACUUCUCCUAUAGAGAUAUAUAGCUUUUUAGGAUUUGCAGGCUAUUACAGGCAUUGUGUGCAGGUGCAAAAGUGGCCCAGACCUACCUCUCCUACAGAGAUUCACAACUUUUUAGGCUUAGUAGGCUAUUACAGGCGUUUUGUGCAGGAUUUCUCCAAAAUAGCAGCACCACUGACCAAACUAACACAGAAAAAUACAAAGUUUCAGUGGACGGAGGAAUGUGAGCAGAGCUUUCAAAAACUCAAAACAUGUUUGACAAUUGCACCAAUAUUAGCCUUACCAUCAGGUUUCGGAGGAUUUACUGUAUUCUGUGACGCUUUGAGGGUGGGAUUAGGAUGUGUUCUCAUGCAAAAUAGUCGUGUUAUUGCUUAUGCUUCGAGACAAUUGAAAAAGCCCAAGCAAAACUAUCCUACACAUGAUUUAGAGAUGGCUGCAGUGGUAUUUGCUCUAAAAAUUUGGAGUCAUUAUCUAUAUGGCGAAACUUGUGAGAUUUAUACAGACCAUAAAAGUCUGAAGUAUAUCUUUCAGUAGAGAGAUCUAAAUCUUCAGCAGCGUCGUUGGAUGGAACUACUAUAAGACUAUGAUUGUUCUAUUUUGUAUCAUCCUGGAAAAGCCAAUGUGGUGGCUGAUGCCUUGAGUAGAAAAUCUAUGGGGAGUUUUGGCAUAUAUAGCCCCUGCAAAGAGACUUUUGGCUAGAGAUAUUCAGAGACUAGGAGAUACAGGUAUCAGAUUUAGGACAAGAGGCUAUGGACAAGGUCCAAUUGAUCAGGCAGAGAUUGCUUGCAGCUCAAAGCAGACAAAAGUCUUAUGCUGAUAAGAGAAGAAGAGAUUUAGUAUUCACAAUUGGAGACAAAGUGUUCCUACGAGUAUCCCCUAUGAAAGGUGUGAUGCGGUUUGGAAAAAGAGGCAAGUUGAGCCCCAGGUUUAUAGGACCGUAUGAGAUAUUGGACCGAGUGGGAGUGGUGGCUUAUCGUUCGGCACUUCCUCCUGAGUUGUCCUUUAUUCAUCCAGUGUUUCAUGUCUCAAUGCUAAGAAAAUGUAUAUCAGACGCAUCUCAGGUGCUUGAAGCACCAACUAUACCGCUUGAUGAGAGGUUGUCUUACCAGGAGGAGCUGAUGACAAUUGUUGAUAGACAAGUAAGAAAAUUACGGUCCAAUGAAAUUGUGUUCGUUAAGGUUCUAUGGAGAAAUCAUACAAUUGAAGAAGCUAAUUGAGAAGUAGAAGAUACUAUACGAGUCAAGUACCCCUAUUUAUUUCAGUCUACACGUACGUACUUGAAUUAAAUUGGGGGACCGAAUUUCAUGAGGUGGGGAGAAUGAAAUACCCUAUAUUUAAAAGAGGGCGUAUUGGUCAUUAUAAUAAUAAUAAUAAUAAUUACAAUAAAGUAACUAAAUAAAAAAAAGGAAUAGGCAUAAUAUCAAUGGGCUUAGCCCAUGUCGGACUAGGGAGAAAAAAAUAUAUAUACUAAGAGAAAUAAAUGGGCCGAUCCCACCAUAAAUCUUACACUACGGGAGUUAGGGAUUUGGGGGGAGGCAUAUCCAAGAUUAAAGAAUCAAAAGGGAAUAGAGAGGAAAGCUUUACCUGGAGCAAGAUACUGGAAAACUUAACCCAAAAAAAAACCAAGGUGGAAUACUUCAGCAACGUGAAAGAAGGUUUAGGAGAAUAAAGUUUUGUCAUUAAAACAUACAUUGCCUUAUAGAGGUUAAUGUUAAUUUGAUUCUAUUUAAUUUGUUUCCCCGAGUAUCUGAGCUUUCAUUCGAAACUGAAGCUAAAUUCUAGUGAGAAAGAUGAUAUAUAUAAAUUUAAUUGGGUUUAGCUAUGCACAUAUUUGGGUAUAACCUAUUUUGAAGAAUAUUUGAGAUCGUUUGAGUUUGAAUUCUUUAGAUCUUUAAAUUUGAUAUUGGAAUUUUGUUGGUUCUUAAUUAUAAUGGGUAGCAUUAGGCUCGAAUUUUUUUUAUUAUGAUAAGGUUAUUGCCUCAUGUUCGACUCAUGAACUGAGAAAUAAAGAAUGACAGGGACUACUUUGGUAGGUCUUGUGUAGCCUAAUUAAGGAUUAUUUCCAGUGGAAUCAGGAGGAAAUUUGAUAGAAUAAAACCCGAGUAUGUCGGUAGUUCAUGAAGUUGAUACUUAACUAGUGUUUUUGAUAAUAUAGAUUGACUGAAGGAAGUUGUACGAACUGCUCGAAUUGAAGCGCUUGGUAUUUGCAAUUUGUGUUUUCAUAACCUGCAUGGUUUAUCUAUGAUUUUUGAAAAUAAAUGUAUUACUGAUGCUUUGAAAUUGCAUGUGGGACAAGUCCUUUACUUGAUAUGAUACCGAACAGUUUACUUGAGAUGUUUACUGAUUAAUCAAAUAUUUUCACUGUUACUAGAUAUGUUUUACCGUUACUUGAGACAUAAUUUCUGUUACCGAAAUAAAACUACAAGAUUUGAAAAAGAAUGAUAUGCCCUUUAUUAUUUUGAAAAUGCUUCUGUACGAG